Molecule: ribosomal RNA, 613 nt
Filed under: uncultured marine bacterium
Lineage: Bacteria
Description: bacterial SSU rRNA
Rfam family: Bacterial small subunit ribosomal RNA
Source: RNAcentral
UCGAGCGGUAACAGACAUUUUGAUUUUGCUUGCAAAAUCUCGUGCUGACGAGCGGCGAACGGGUGAGUAACGCGUAGGAAUCUACCUAGUAGAAGGGGAUAGCCCGAGGAAACUCGGAUUAAUACCGUAUACGUCCUUAGGGAGAAAGAGGGCUUAGCUUUGAUGCUCUCGCUAUUAGAUGAGCCUGCGUAAGAUUAGCUUGUUGGUGAGGUAAAGGCUCACCAAGGCGACGAUCUUUAGCUGGUCUGAGAGGACGAUCAGCCACAUUGGGACUGAGACACGGCCCAGACUCCUACGGGAGGCAGCAGUGGGGAAUAUUGGACAAUGGGCGCAAGCCUGAUCCAGCCAUACCGCGUGUGUGAAGAAGGCCUUCGGGUUGUAAAGCACUUUAAGUAAGGAAGAAAAGAGUAUUGUUAAUACCAAUACUCCGUGACAUUACUUACAGAAUAAGGACCGGCUAAUUCCGUGCCAGCAGCCGCGGUAAUACGGAAGGUCCAAGCGUUAAUCGGAAUUACUGGGCGUAAAGCGCGCGUAGGUGGUUUAUUAAGUUGGGUGUGAAAGCCCCGGGCUCAACCUGGGAACUGCAUCCAAAACUGAUUCACUAGAGUACGAA